AGCUGAAUGGCGCAGCGGAAGCGCGCCGGGCUCAUAACCCGGAGGACGACGGAUCGAAACCGUCUUCAGCUA
Molecule: transfer RNA, 72 nt
Filed under: Coniosporium uncinatum
Lineage: Eukaryota; Fungi; Ascomycota; Dothideomycetes
Also listed under: 2 other names
Description: tRNA-Met
Rfam family: tRNA
About the family: Transfer RNA (tRNA) molecules are approximately 80 nucleotides in length. Their secondary structure includes four short double-helical elements and three loops (D, anti-codon, and T loops).
Source: RNAcentral